RNAcentral lists this ribosomal RNA (491 nucleotides) under uncultured bacterium. RNAcentral describes it as "partial 16S ribosomal RNA". It matches the Rfam family "Bacterial small subunit ribosomal RNA", at positions 29 to 506 of the family's 1533-position model. The record is from RNAcentral.
AGUGAACGCUGGCGGUAGGCCUAACACAUGCAAGUCGAACGGCAGCACAGUAAGAGCUUGCUCUUACGGGUGGCGAGUGGCGGACGGGUGAGGAAUACAUCGGAAUCUACUUUUUCGUGGGGGAUAACGUAGGGAAACUUACGCUAAUACCGCAUACGACCUACGGGUGAAAGCAGGGGAUCUUCGGACCUUGCGCGAUUGAAUGAGCCGAUGUCGGAUUAGCUAGUUGGCGGGGUAAAGGCCCACCAAGGCGACGAUCCGUAGCUGGUCUGAGAGGAUGAUCAGCCACACUGGAACUGAGACACGGUCCAGACGCCUACGGGAGGCAGCAGUGGGGAAUAUUGGACAAUGGGCGAAAGCCUGAUCCAGCCAUACCGCGUGGGUGAAGAAGGCCUUCGGGUUGUAAAGCCCUUUUGUUGGGAAAGAAAAGCAGCAGGUUAAUACCCCGCUGUUCUGACGGUACCCAAAGAAUAAGCACCGGCUAACUGCGU